Molecule: ribosomal RNA, 366 nt
Filed under: uncultured eukaryote
Lineage: Eukaryota
Description: partial 18S ribosomal RNA
Rfam family: Eukaryotic small subunit ribosomal RNA
Source: RNAcentral
CAAUAGCGUAUAUUAACGUUGUUGCAGUUAAAAAGCUCGUAGUUGGAUUUCUGGAGGGAGCGUCGGCCCGUAUUUACGAGUGCGUGACGUCUCUGUCCAUCCUUGCGGGAAGGCACGGCAUUGAUUUGUUGUGUCGGAUCGCAUCAUUUACUGUGAAAAAAUUAGAGUGUUCAAAGCAGGCUUUCGCUUGAAUACAUUAGCAUGGAAUAAUAAGAUAGGACUUUGGUCUAUUUUGUUGGUUGCGGCCCAAAGUAAUGAUUAAUAGGGAUGAUUGGGGACAUUCAUAUUGAGGUGGAAGAGGUGAAAUUCUUGGAUUUCCUCAAGAUGAACUGCUGCGAAAGCGUUUGUCCAGGGCGUUUNCAUUAA